GCUACGGGUGGCAGCAGUAGGGAAUAUUGGGCAAUGGAGGAAACUCUGACCCAGCAACGCCGCGUGAAUGAUGACGGUCCUCGGAUUGUUAAGUUCUUUUCUUAGGGAAGCAGAAAGUGCCGGUUCCUUCGGUAUAAGCCUCGGCUAACUACGUGCCAGCAGCCGCGGUAGUACGUGGGGGGCAAGCGGUACCCGGAAUGCGUGGGCGUAAAGGGGGCGUUGGUGUUUUGGCAAAGUGAUACCGUAACCCCCGGGCUCAACCCCGGCACUACUCGCAAACCUGGCGGACUGGAGUGGAGGAGAGGCAAAUGGAAUGUGUAGUGUAGCGGUGGAAUGCGUAGAUAUUAGGAGGAACACCAGUGGCGAAGGCGAUUUGCUGGACUGUAACUGACACUGAGGCACGAAAGCGUGGGGAGCAAACAGGAUUAGAUACCCUGGUAGUC
This 443-nucleotide ribosomal RNA is filed under the name uncultured bacterium. RNAcentral describes it as "partial 16S ribosomal RNA". It matches the Rfam family "Bacterial small subunit ribosomal RNA", at positions 338 to 795 of the family's 1533-position model. The record is from RNAcentral.